This 250-nucleotide ribosomal RNA is filed under the name uncultured bacterium. RNAcentral describes it as "partial 16S ribosomal RNA". It matches the Rfam family "Bacterial small subunit ribosomal RNA", at positions 86 to 339 of the family's 1533-position model. The record is from RNAcentral.
CUGAGUAAAGCGGCGGACGGGUGAGUAAUGCUUGGGAAUCUACCUAGUAGUGGGGGACAACCUGGUGAAAACCAGGCUAAUACCGCAUAAUCCCUACGGGGCAAAGCAGGGGACCUUCGGGCCUUGCGCUAAAUGAUGAGCCUAUGUCGGAUUAGCUUGUUGGUGAGGUAAUGGCUCACCAAGGCGACGAUCCGUAGCUGGUCUGAGAGGAUGAUCAGCCACACUGGAACUGAGACACGGUCCAGACUCC